RNAcentral lists this long non-coding RNA (336 nucleotides) under Elaeis guineensis (African oil palm). RNAcentral describes it as "long non-coding RNA (EGUI_LNC014753)". Lineage: Eukaryota; Viridiplantae; Streptophyta; Magnoliopsida; Arecales; Arecaceae. The record is from RNAcentral.
ACAUGAAGGUGACUCUUAGGCUACCCUCAUAAAUAUAAAGUAAUCUUUGAUUUUCUAAAUGACCCUUAGUUUUUCUAAGUUGACUUUUUGAUUUAAGAGUUACAUGACUCUUUGAUUUUCAUAACAUAUUAAUGACUAGACUCUUGAACUUUCACUAACAUUAAUUACAAAUUAACUUUCAAUAAUUAUAACCACCCUUUGUCGUCUCAUCGAUGGUCGGGAUGGCACUCUCAAGCCAGCCGUCGAUGGUGGAGGACGGCCCAUGGCUUACCGAUGGUGGAUUUGGGGCUUCAAGCGGUGGCCAUGGGGUUUAGGUGGUAAUCGGGAAAGAAGAAA